UCUUGAGGAGCACCCUGGAGUGGUUUUGGUGGUGGGAAUGGGGUGUUGCAAUGUGGAAGCCCCGGGGUUUCUGUAGGAUCACCCCACAUCUCCCAGGACAGGCUGUUGUCCCCUCACAGGGAGUUUUCUCUGGGCAGGAAGUCAGGGUGACUGGCAGAGC
This is a non-coding RNA of Sturnus vulgaris (Common starling), 160 nucleotides long. The record is from RefSeq and is a predicted model, not a curated record. NCBI's taxonomy places the organism in Eukaryota, Metazoa, Chordata, Aves, Passeriformes, Sturnidae.